This 355-nucleotide ribosomal RNA is filed under the name uncultured soil bacterium. RNAcentral's name for it is "bacterial SSU rRNA". It matches the Rfam family "Bacterial small subunit ribosomal RNA", at positions 26 to 399 of the family's 1533-position model. The record is from RNAcentral.
AGAACGAACGCUGGCGGCAUGCCUAAUACAUGCAAGUCGAACGAACACUUCGGUGUUAGUGGCGCACGGGUGCGUAACGCGUGGGAAUCUGCCCUUGGGUUCGGAAUAACAGUUGGAAGCGACUGCUAAUACCGGAUGAUGACGAAAGUCCAAAGAUUUAUCGCCCAGGGAUGAGCCCGCGUAGGAUUAGCUAGUUGGUGAGGUAAGGCUCACCAAGGCGACGAUCCUUAGCUGGUCUGAGAGGAUGAUCAGCCACACUGGGACUGAGACACGGCCCAGACCUCCGUACGGGGAGCAGCAGGUAAGGGAAUAGUUGGAACAAGUGGGCGACAAGCCUAGAUCCAAGCAAGCGCCG